This 223-nucleotide ribosomal RNA is filed under the name uncultured Enterobacterales bacterium. RNAcentral describes it as "partial 16S ribosomal RNA". It matches the Rfam family "Bacterial small subunit ribosomal RNA", at positions 108 to 334 of the family's 1533-position model. The record is from RNAcentral. Lineage: Bacteria; Pseudomonadati; Pseudomonadota; Gammaproteobacteria; Enterobacterales.
GAGUAAUGUCUGGGAAACUGCCUGAUGGAGGGGGAUAACUACUGGAAACGGUAGCUAAUACCGCAUAACGUCGCAAGACCAAAGAGGGGGACCUUCGGGCCUCUUGCCAUCAGAUGUGCCCAGAUGGGAUUAGCUUGUUGGUGGGGUAACGGCUCACCAAGGCGGCGAUCCCUAGCUGGUCCGAGAGGAUGACCAGCCACACUGGAACUGAGACACGGUCCAG